This 265-nucleotide ribosomal RNA is filed under the name uncultured bacterium. RNAcentral describes it as "partial 16S ribosomal RNA". It matches the Rfam family "Bacterial small subunit ribosomal RNA", at positions 793 to 1055 of the family's 1533-position model. The record is from RNAcentral.
GUCCACGCCGUAAACUAUGUUCACUAGAUCCGUGUCCCGACUUGUCGGGAUGCGAGUCGUAGCUAACGCGUUAAGUGAACCGCCUGGGAAGUACGGCCGCAAGGCUAAAACUCAAAGGAAUUGACGGGGACCCGCACAAGCGGUGGAGCGCCUGCUUUAAUUCGAUGAUAACCGAAAACCUUACCGAGGUUUGACAUGUAGAUGCAUUCUGGGUGAAAGCCCGGAAGCCUUCGAGGGUUCUACACAGGUAUUGCAUGGCUGUUGU